AUUGAACGCUGGCGGCAGGCCUAACACAUGCAAGUCGAGCGGUUGAAGGGAGCUUGCUCCUGGAUUCAGCAGCGGACGGGGGAGUAAUGCCUAGGAAGCUGGUAGGUAGUGGGGGAUAACGUUCGGAAAAAGGCGCUAAUACCGCAUACGUCCUGAGGGAGAAAGUGGGAGAUCUUCGGACCUUACGCUAUCAGACGAGCCUAGGUCGGAUGAGCAAGUUGGGGGGGUAAAGGCAUACCAAGGCGACGAUCCGUAACUGGUCUGAGAGGAUGAUCAGUCACACUGGAACUGAGACACGGUCCAGACUCCGACGGGAGGCAGCAGUGGGGAAUAUUGGACAAUGGGCGAAAGCCUGAUCCAGCCAUGUCGCGUGUGUGAAGAAGGUCUUCGGAUUGUAAAGCACUUUAGGUUGGGAUGAAGGGCAGUAAGUUAAUACCUUGCUGUUUUGACGUUACCAACAGAAUAAGCACCGGCUAACUUCGUG
Molecule: ribosomal RNA, 484 nt
Filed under: uncultured bacterium
Lineage: Bacteria
Description: partial 16S ribosomal RNA
Rfam family: Bacterial small subunit ribosomal RNA
Source: RNAcentral